UUAACGAAAAACAUUGAAUUU
Molecule: non-coding RNA, 21 nt
Filed under: Caenorhabditis elegans
Lineage: Eukaryota; Metazoa; Nematoda; Chromadorea; Rhabditida; Rhabditidae
Source: RNAcentral